Molecule: unclassified non-coding RNA, 469 nt
Filed under: Hevea brasiliensis (rubber tree)
Lineage: Eukaryota; Viridiplantae; Streptophyta; Magnoliopsida; Malpighiales; Euphorbiaceae
Source: RNAcentral
GUUUGACUCGUUGGAGGGAUCGGUGAGUACCCAAGAUAAGGUGAUGUCAGAGGUAUAUUUAGGGAAGCAGAUUUGCAAUAUUGUGGCAUGUGAAGGACCGGACCGAAUCGAAAGACACGAGACUCUGACUCAGUGGCGAACUCGUCUGGGUUCCUCCGGAUUUGUUCCCGUUCAUCUCGGGUCAAACGCCUUCAAACAAGCAAGCAUGUUACUAGCCCUAUUUGCUGGUGGAGAUGGGUAUAGAGUGGAAGAGAACAACGGGUGUUUGAUGCUGGGAUGGCAUACUAGGCCGCUGAUUGCAACCUCAGCCUGGAGGCUGGCCAACAAACAAGUAGUAGCUCACUGAGUCAUAACUCAAAACUCGUUCUCAACUCAGGCAAGAUUGAGAUGACCAAUUCAAGUUCACCAAACCCUAGUGAGAGAGUGUGGUAAUGUGAAUUGCUGAGCUGGUAAUGGGUAAAAAAAAAAA